AAUGUGAGGUCACUGAAUUCAGACUUGGGAAGACAUGCUCACAAUCAGCCCUCACACAUCUCUCUGUUGACAUUUAUGUUUAGUGGUGAAAAAGAAGGCAGGCUCUGGAGAAAAACUGCCUGGGUUUAAAUCUUGUUUCCACGAUUGAUCGGCUAUGAAAACUUGGGAAAAUGCAACUUGAAGGUGACUCUGACUGGUUGGGUUUGUACCUCCACUUUCCAAGAAGAUGUGAUGUCCUCCUGUUCUAACAAAAAAAAUGUUGUUGCCAUAUUUUAUUUUGUGAACCAGAUAUAAUUGAAAGACACAAAUGGAUCUCAGUGCUUCAAGGGGCAGACUGUAAGACAUCUUUUUGCAACUUUUCAGAUUGUAUUGGCUUCACCUAUCUUCCAGACAGCCACCACCACAACCAACCUAUUCAAUACAGGGCCAUGAAUUUUUGCUAUCUGAGGCCAACCAGCCACACUCAAGUCUGUCUUCUCUUGCCACUUUCUAACUCAGAUUCAGAUGAAAUGCCACACCAAAGAGCAUUGGUUUUGGCUUCUGAGAAGGUGCUGAAGGUGUUAGAUGGUGCAAAGCAAUAGUGCUGAGGAGUUAACUCCUUGUGAGGCCAACUUCGACCAGUGAGAGGCAAGAGAUGAGACAAAGCCAGGCAGACAAAUUCUCUUUCUCUUCCUCACUCCAAUGGAAUGUUCUGAAUCAUGAUUUCACCACACAGGCUGGCCAAGUCAUCGACCUGCUAAGUGACCUGCUGUCUCUUUCAACUUCUUGAGAAGUAAUAGCCAGCAUGUCACCUUGCAUUACUUACCAUGCUUCUUGGCCUCACUUUCCUUUUCUCUCACUCUUGCUGCACGGACUUUUAUGUCUCAAAUAAAGCAUUAGCACUUACUCCUUGCCUCAGAUUCUAUUUUCUAGGGAACUCAAGUUAAACAACUACAUUAUCCAGACUCCUUUGAAGUUAGACGUGACCGUGCAACUGGAUUCUAACCAAUGGAAUAUAAGCAGAAAUUAUAUACACAACUUACAAACUUGGCACAUAAAAAUUUGCUCUUUUUCCCUACAAACAUACUAGAAAGGAAAAAGGAAAAGAAAAACCAGAGCCAUUUAGAAGCCUAUAUGUGGCAGAGCCUCUGUUAGCCUGAGUCUCUGAAUGACAGCGGAGGAGAGUGUCUACUGACUUGUUCACACUCCCACUACUAUUACAUGAACAAGAAAUAAGCUUCUAUGAUAUUUGAACCAUCAUAUAUUUGAGGCCUACUGGUCAUGGCAAUCAGCGUACCCUAGUUAAUAGACUUAUGCUGUCAUUAAACCAAUAACUACAAUUAGUAAAGAUCAAAGUCCUAAAAAAGUAUACUGCUAAGGCUGGAAGUCACAUUUUCCUUUUUUGCCUGCUUACCU
This 1395-nucleotide long non-coding RNA is filed under the name Equus caballus (horse). RNAcentral describes it as "lncRNA (ENSECAG00000052995.1)". The record is from RNAcentral. Lineage: Eukaryota; Metazoa; Chordata; Mammalia; Perissodactyla; Equidae.